UAGGGAAUCUUCCGCAAUGGACGCAAGUCUGACGGAGCAACGCCGCGUGAGUGAAGAAGGAUUUCGGUUCGUAAAACUCUGUUGUUAGAGAAGAACAGCGCAUAGAGUAACUGUUAUGCGUGUGACGGUAUCUAACCAGAAAGCCACGGCUAACUACGUGCCAGCAGCCGCGGUAAUACGUAGGUGGCAAGCGUUGUCCGGAUUUAUUGGGCGUAAAGCGAGCGCAGGCGGUCAAUUAAGUCUGAUGUGAAAGCCCCCGGCUCAACCGGGGAGGGUCAUUUGAAACUGGUUGACUUGAGUGCAGAAGAGGAGAGUGGAAUUCCAUGUGUAGCGGUGAAAUGCGUAGAUAUAUGGAGGAACACCAGUAGCGAAGGCGACUCUCUGGUCUGUAACUGACGCUGAGGUUCGAAAGCGUGGGUAGCAAACAGG
This 429-nucleotide ribosomal RNA is filed under the name Bacteroidota bacterium. RNAcentral describes it as "Bacteroidetes bacterium partial 16S ribosomal RNA". It matches the Rfam family "Bacterial small subunit ribosomal RNA", at positions 355 to 776 of the family's 1533-position model. The record is from RNAcentral. Lineage: Bacteria; Pseudomonadati; Bacteroidota.